RNAcentral lists this ribosomal RNA (174 nucleotides) under Triticum aestivum (bread wheat). Its description in RNAcentral is "partial small subunit ribosomal RNA". Lineage: Eukaryota; Viridiplantae; Streptophyta; Magnoliopsida; Poales; Poaceae. The record is from RNAcentral.
AUGACCUUGGUCAAGGCGGUCCUUACGGCGGUGGCCAUUUACCACAUUACACCGGUUGACCUUCCGGUGGAGGUUCUCAAGGCGAUCGAUAGGUUGCGGCGAGCCUACCUUUGGGCCGGAACUGACAAGGUAACUGGUGGAAAGUGCAAAGUAAACUGGGAGCUCGUCUGCAGG